CAAGAACUUGUCCACGUCGAAGCAAUCUAUGUCAAACCUGAGGAAACAUUUAGAGAGGAAGCAUCCAGGCGUUCUUCUGAAAGGCACGUUUAGUCCAUCUGAUACUCGGGACCCAUCGUCCAUCUUAAUUCUUGAUGCACUGUAUUGUGCCGUGUUUAAUUUUACAAGCCAGGGUGUGCAAAGAAAAAAUCAAGAAAAAUAAAAUGUGAUGUAAAAGUC
Molecule: long non-coding RNA, 219 nt
Organism: Xiphophorus couchianus (Monterrey platyfish)
Lineage: Eukaryota; Metazoa; Chordata; Actinopteri; Cyprinodontiformes; Poeciliidae
Exons: 2
Source: RefSeq, a predicted model, not a curated record